This is a non-coding RNA of Arachis ipaensis, 547 nucleotides long. NCBI's taxonomy places the organism in Eukaryota, Viridiplantae, Streptophyta, Magnoliopsida, Fabales, Fabaceae. The record is from RefSeq and is a predicted model, not a curated record.
GGCUUAUAGAUUCUGACGGCACAAUCAAGCCGGCAAAACUAAGCGUGAGGGAUGCUAUGGCACGGCCUAAUGGUAGGAAGAUCGUGCUCAGGUUCAACAAUGCAAAGCAAGCAAUUGGAGACGAAGCUGGACUGUUGAGUGGCGUGCUUGGUCUGCUGGGAUCUGAUUAUGGAAAAUUUUCCAUCUGUAGGAAAAGUUGCAUCAGAUUACCACUAAAGACAAGGUUUAUAACGAAUGUGUCAAGCAAAUUUUCCACUUUGAUGAAGACAGCGAAGGAACUAUUAAGAAAAAUAUUUUGAAAAGUAUGGGGAAGGCUUAGAAGGAAACAAGGCUGAGGUUGUAUGACCGUUUUUAUGAGCCAACAUUCACUACUGAUCAAAAUCUUGAGAAUCGAUUGCCGGGAAUUGAUCGAGAGCAUUGGAGAUGGUUCCUUGACUAUCGCGCCGAACCUGAGACGAAGGAGAAGUGCAGAAAAAACACGGAGAAUCGAUCAAAACAACAAUAUACCCACACUGGCGGUUCGAAAAGCUUCGCACUGCGGAUGGAA